This is a non-coding RNA of Gloeophyllum trabeum ATCC 11539, 89 nucleotides long. NCBI's taxonomy places the organism in Eukaryota, Fungi, Basidiomycota, Agaricomycetes, Gloeophyllales, Gloeophyllaceae. The record is from the annotation of a RefSeq genome assembly.
GGUCAGGUGAGUGGCUAACAUUAUCGCCUCUCACAGCUUACUUAAGGGUCACGUGACCGCGAUAGCCCGGGGUUCGAUUCCCCGCAUCG